CAGACAACUGUUACCCAUAUGGAGAAAAAAAAUAGAUCACUAACUCACACUAUAUCCAAAAAUGAAUUCCAAGAGAAUUACAGUUAACUUUAAAACAUUUAGGAAAAAAUGUUUUUUAGACACUAUUUUUAUGGUCUUAAGUGAGGGACUGACAAAAAAAAAUACAAACCAUAAAGUAAAAAAGAAGAAGAAGGAAAGAAGAUAAAAUUGAGAAAUUUGAUGUUAAACAUUCUGUGAUGAAGGAUGCCAAAAAACAAUGUUUAAAGGCAAUAAAUAGCCUUGGAGAGAGAAAAUUUCUGUAAGUAUUCAUAAUAUUUAGUGAACACUUAGUACUCUAUAAGGAAAAAACAACCCACUACAAAAAAGUGAGCAAAGUCUAGAGUCAGGUAAUACAAAGAGAAAGAAAAAAAUCCCAAAUGAUGAAAAACCGUAGGAAAAACCAACACUAAACACAUAACCUCAUAAGUAAUCAGAGAAAUACAAAUCAAGACAAUUAAAUACCUUUUCAAUACAUCAGAUUAGCAAAUUUUAAAAGCCCAACAAUGUCAAGAGUGGGAGAAGAUGCAGAAUAAUAAGAAUUGUACACAUUGUUGCUGAAAGCAAACUGAGAGCAAUUUGGCAACGCCUACCAACCUUUAUGAUGUUUGUACCCCAAGACCCAGUAAUUCCACUUCUUCUGUAUCUUUGAAAAGUUCAACAAAUCCACAUGGAAACAAGUCCAGAGAAGGUCACAAUAGAACUGUUUAUAAAAUGACAACCUGGAAACAUCAGUUAGGGAGUGGAUAUAUUAUGAUAUAUUUAUAGAAAGAAAUUGGUUUAUGUCUGAGUCUUUUCAGGUUGCUAUAACACAAAUACCAUAGACUGGGUGACUUAUGUAACAUUUAUCUUUCAGUUCUGAAGGAUGGAAUCCCAGAUCAAGGAGCCAGCAGAUGUGGUGGUGUGGACCCACUUCCUGGUUCAUAGAGGACCUUCCCACUGUGCCCUCAUACAGUGAAGGGAUCCUAUCAAUAGAAGCUGUAGACAAAUAUCCAUUCUUCGUCUGAGGACAAAUGACAGAGGAUUUAACCAUUCAGGGAACUGAAAAGAACACGGAUGGCAUCAAGCUUGGCCCUAGCUGACAGAGGCUCAGAGGUAGAAGAUGGGAGCCGAAAGAGUGAAUGCUUUCAUUUUUUAAAUGAGUAAUUAAGUGAUGCUCUCUAAGGUCAACAGAAUGAGAAAUGAGGUUUCCAAGAAUUUGUUUGAGAAAUAAGCAAUGUCCUUUAAGUGGAGGGACGGAGCAUGGAGAGGGAAGAGGUCUGAGAGAAGACACAGACGAGGCUGAAUCAGGGAGAGAAACCCCAUUGACUAUAAAAGGAAGGCAAUAAACUGAGAAAGAGUAGUGUUAUGGGUCGAAUUAUGUCCCCUCAAAAGAUAUGUUCAAGUCCCCAGUACCUGUAAAUGUGACUUAAUUUGGAAACACGGUCUUUGUAAAUGUAAUCAAGUUAAGAGGAGGUCGUUAGGGUGGGCUCUAACCCAAUAGGACUGCGUCCUUAUAGGCAGAGGAAAAUGCCAUGUGAGGAGGGACACACAGGGACACAGAGGGCAAGCUAAGGACCGAUGGCACUUCCAGGAGCUGGAAGAGGUGGGGGGUGGAUCCCCCUGAGCCUUCAGAACAAGUGUGGCCAUGCUGGCACCUUGAUUACAGACUUCCAGCCCUCAGAACUAUG
RNAcentral lists this long non-coding RNA (1706 nucleotides) under Homo sapiens (human). Its description in RNAcentral is "HSALNT0252299". Lineage: Eukaryota; Metazoa; Chordata; Mammalia; Primates; Hominidae. The record is from RNAcentral.